RNAcentral lists this ribosomal RNA (467 nucleotides) under uncultured bacterium. RNAcentral describes it as "partial 16S ribosomal RNA". It matches the Rfam family "Bacterial small subunit ribosomal RNA", at positions 28 to 507 of the family's 1533-position model. The record is from RNAcentral.
GACGAACGCUGGCGGCGUGCUUAACACAUGCAAGUCGAACGGGAAGGUCGGGCUUUGGUGGGGUGCGCGAGUGGCGAACGGGUGAGUAACACGUGAGUAACCUGCCCCUGACUGUGGGAUAACUUCAUGAAACUGGGUCUAAUACCGGAUAGGAGCUCCUGCUGCAUGGUGGGGGUGGGAAAGUUUCGUCGGUUGGGGAUGGACUCGCGGCUUAUCGGCUUGUUGGUGGGGUAGUGGCUUACCAAGGCUUGGACGGGUAGCUGGCCUGACAGGGUGACCGACCACAUUGGGACGGAGUUACGCACCGCACACAUACGGGCGGGAGGAGGGGGGAGUAUUGAAUAGGGGACGGACGCCUGCUGGAGCAAGCCAGGGCGCGGGAUGGAGGCAUUCGGUUGGUAAACAGCUUUCGCCUGCGAGGAAGGAUAAGUACCGGUACUGGAGAAAGAGGCACGGCUUAACUCGGG